AUGAAAUUUUCAAACUCAAAUGCAUGGUUUUAUUGUUUACUGUGCACACUUUUUUUCUUGCUCCCUAGUUAUUUUGUAAGACACGAAGUGGCCCAGACAUGCAAACCUUCGAGACAGCGCUCAGCACUCAAUCGGUCCUUUGAGCCCCGAAGAGAAACAGGAGCCUCGGACCGUAUGAUGCAACAGUGUGAAACGGCACAAGCUGAGCACAGACUGAAACUGGAUCCAUCAGGGUGUCUGUCUGCAUCUUCGCCUGUCUGUCUGAUUUCCACAUUCAGAUAAAAGAGUUCGCAAAUGGCACAUGCUUAAACUCCAGCCUACACUCUAAAAAAUGCUGGGCUGUUUCAACCAAACUUUGGGUCAAAUAUGGACUAAACCAACUGUUAGGUUGAUUUUUUUAAUUAAAUUUUUAACCCAAAACUUGGGUUAGUCUAUUUUUGACCCAAAGUUGGAUUGAAACAACCCAGCAUUUUUUAGAGUGUAGCAGAUGAAAAACAGGACUUGCCUUUUACUUUUUCACAACAUCACCUUCAAAGACUUGUUCAAUGUUAAAAUACAUUAUUGUACACCCAAAGCUGGGCACUGAUUACAUGCAAUCUGGAUUAUGUAAUCAAAUUAAAAAAAUUAAGAACUUGUAAUUAGGUUAUAUAAUGUCAAAAAUCUCUCUCUCUCUCUCUCUCUCUCUCUCUCUCUCACUCUCUCUCUCUCGCUGUAAUGUAGGUUUAAUGCAUUUCAUGAUGUUGAUAACAAAGAAUGUUUGUUGUUAUUGUUUCAUUAAUAUGGAACACACUAAUUUUCAUUCAAGUCUGUGAUAACGAUUUGCAGUAUGCCAAAAGUAAUCUAAAACUAGUCGAAAAUAGUCAGACUACAUUAACUAAUAUUUGUAAUCCAUGUUAUGUCCCUUAUUGCAAUUUUCAUCAUGUAAUUUGUAAUCAGUAAUGGGCUAAGAUUAUUAUUUAUGUGGCCCUCUACAAUACUUGAUUCUGAUUGGUCAGUCAUGACCAAUUUCAAGCCGUCCGAAAAAGCAACACUUGCUCAAAGAUUGGUGUCUUAUGUUUCUAACUCUGUUUGAUGGGGCAAAAAUGACACCCUUCAACUUUAAACUCAUUAUAAAGGACUAUGCAGGUCCUAGCAUACAUAUGCAGGUAAAGUGGUCAUGAUUAAUGUGCAUUGUAACAGAAGUUGUGUGUAGAAUACAGUCGUGCAGAGUUCUUCUGCAUCGGAUGAAAGCAUUUACCCUUUUAUAGGUUGUAAUAUACAGUUUCUGGCAUUUUUGGUGUCCGUCCCUCUGGAUUAUUUCCUCGUUAUAAAUUACCUCGAUGAGGUCUUUGAUUCCAGGAAACGAGUGUGCAGCUGGCAUACAGGCCUGAGAUUUACAUUUAUUGUUCCUGUUUUGCUUUUUUCCCUAAGCCUCUUAAAUGAUACUGCAGGCCUCUGUGUAGCAAGUGCUGCUUUAUGUCUCUAGACACCAAUAAUGUGCAGAAAAAUAAAAAUUCUGUCUGAUUCA
Molecule: long non-coding RNA, 1507 nt
Organism: Cyprinus carpio (common carp)
Lineage: Eukaryota; Metazoa; Chordata; Actinopteri; Cypriniformes; Cyprinidae
Source: Ensembl